CAAAGUAUCUUCUGCCCACUGAUAUGGUUAAAUGGCCGCAGUACUCUGACUGUGCUAAGGUAGCGUGAUUCUUGUUUUCUUAAUUAGAAAUCUGUUCAAAGAAUGAAAUGAAGAAAAUCUAUUGUUUUUACAUUAAAUGAAGUUAAAAUGUGAGUGAAAAUUCUCACGCAAUUAUAAAAGACGAGAAGACCCCAUAAAACUUAAUUUGAUUCUUCCUCUUUUAGAAGUUUAAAAUUUAGAUGGGAACUUUAGAGUAUAUUAAUAACUUAUCGACCUUUAUUUUUAUUUGUUGAGAAGCUACUUUGGGGAUAACAGGGUAAAAUGUUUAGAGAGUUCCUAUCGAUAAACGUGAUUACUACCUCGAUGUUGGAUUAUCUUUUCA
This 382-nucleotide ribosomal RNA is filed under the name Brachionus forficula. Its description in RNAcentral is "partial 16S ribosomal RNA". It matches the Rfam family "Bacterial large subunit ribosomal RNA", at positions 1896 to 2547 of the family's 2925-position model. The record is from RNAcentral. Lineage: Eukaryota; Metazoa; Rotifera; Eurotatoria; Ploima; Brachionidae.